GACGGAGGGCGCGGGCGUAUUCGUUUUGAUUGGGUGUAAAGGGUAUGUAGAUAGUUUCCAGUGUUUUGGCCGAAAGAGCGGAGUGUUCCUACGCGCAAGGCCUUCUAAAAACGAAGCUUGAGUUGAAGAGAGGUAGGGUCAAAUUCUUAAGUAGGGGUAAGAUCCGACGAUAUGAGAAUGAACGUCAGCUGGCGAAGGCGCCCAUCCCGCUUCAACUGACAUUAAGGUACGAAAGCUUAGGUAGCAAACGGA
RNAcentral lists this ribosomal RNA (252 nucleotides) under uncultured bacterium. RNAcentral's name for it is "partial 16S ribosomal RNA". It matches the Rfam family "Bacterial small subunit ribosomal RNA", at positions 524 to 776 of the family's 1533-position model. The record is from RNAcentral.